UCAGGUGACAGCAGAUGCUGGCGA
RNAcentral lists this non-coding RNA (24 nucleotides) under Mus musculus (house mouse). The record is from RNAcentral. Lineage: Eukaryota; Metazoa; Chordata; Mammalia; Rodentia; Muridae.